GUACUUAACCUAGCAAGGGAGAUACCCCAGGAUCAUGAAGGUGGAUUCCCCGGAGCAAGGUUCGUUUAUUACACCUGGGAUGUGUUGACCCUAUGAUUUCCCCAAGUGCUGGAAACUUGACUGUACAAUUUGUGGUAGUUGGGGACUGCAUUCACAUUUGUCUUAC
Molecule: small nuclear RNA, 166 nt
Organism: Grammomys surdaster
Lineage: Eukaryota; Metazoa; Chordata; Mammalia; Rodentia; Muridae
Product: U1 spliceosomal RNA
Exons: 1
Source: RefSeq, a predicted model, not a curated record